RNAcentral lists this unclassified non-coding RNA (233 nucleotides) under Hevea brasiliensis (rubber tree). Lineage: Eukaryota; Viridiplantae; Streptophyta; Magnoliopsida; Malpighiales; Euphorbiaceae. The record is from RNAcentral.
GAGCGCCGCCGCGUACCGAUCCUCUCAAUCGCUGCUCACAGAUAAUAGAUUGAAUAGCCCAUCACCAGCUACCACCUGCUCAUUUUAUUGAGAUUGUCAGCCCAUCGGCUGGGAGUACAAUGAAUGCCAAGAGUUGUCUCCUACUUACCUAUUCAUCUGAGGUUUUGAAUGGAGUACCCUUACUCUUCGCAUCUAAUUGCCUCCCUGUGAAGGCUGUGAAUCAAGAACCCGCU